This is a long non-coding RNA of Pseudophryne corroboree (corroboree frog), 269 nucleotides long. RefSeq lists it as uncharacterized. Lineage: Eukaryota; Metazoa; Chordata; Amphibia; Anura; Myobatrachidae. The record is from RefSeq and is a predicted model, not a curated record. The transcript has 2 exons.
GUCAGUCGGGGGGGAGGAAUGCAUGCAUGGCCAGGGUAGAGCUGCUGCUGUGGGAAACCCUGGAGCAGCAGGAGACAGAAUAGCGACACUGGGGUGACAAAAGUUGCCUGGAUGAAGCCCAGACAAUCCUGGGAUCUGCAUUCCUCUGGGAAUAAUUCCUUAUCAGGACCAAGAUGCCAGGUCCUCAAUGUUAAUGGAUCAAGCCAAGCAACAACUGAGUUUCAGACAAUAACUGCAGCAGCACCAGGUAGUCAAAUCCACAAGAACAG